UCACCAUUACUGUCUGCUCCUAUAUCACCUGCAUUAUUUUGUACAUUGCUUCCGGCUCCCAUAUCACCUGCAGCAUUGUCUACAUUGUUGUUGGCUCCAACAUCACCACCAAUGCCUACAUUACUGUUACCUCCAGUAUCAACGCCAUUGUCUACAUUACUAUCAACUCCCAUAUUUGGAUUAUUGUCAACUCCUACGUUCAUAUUGCCGUUAUCGUUAGGAUUUCCUAAACCAACUCCGUUGUUAGUAUUGCCAUUAGCACCGACUCCAAGGUUUGCAUUGCCAUUAGCAGCAGCUCCAGCGUUUGCAUUGUCAUUAGCACCGACUCCAAGGUUUGCAUUGUCAUUAGCACCGACUCCAAGGUUUGCAUUGCCAUUAGCAGCAGCUCCAGCGUUUGCAUUGGCAAUAGCAGCAGCUCCAGCGUUUACAUUGCCAUUAGCACCAACUCCAGGGUUUGCAUUAGCAUUAUUAGCACCAACUCCAACUCCAACAUUACCAUUGUUUGGAAUAUUAUUGUUAACUCCAACGUUGCCAUCGACAAAAUUAGGAUUUGUC
This 555-nucleotide long non-coding RNA is filed under the name Zostera marina. RNAcentral describes it as "long non-coding RNA (ZMAR_LNC000353)". The record is from RNAcentral. Lineage: Eukaryota; Viridiplantae; Streptophyta; Magnoliopsida; Alismatales; Zosteraceae.